Non-coding RNA from Durio zibethinus, 1204 nucleotides. Lineage: Eukaryota; Viridiplantae; Streptophyta; Magnoliopsida; Malvales; Malvaceae. The record is from RefSeq and is a predicted model, not a curated record.
GCCAAUUGAAAUAGUUUUUUGAGUUUGGAUUCUUAUUUUUUGUGGCCCGAAGGUUGUCACAUUCUUUACUUUCUGUUCACUUGUUUCAAAGACCACAUUAUUGACAUUGCUCUCCUUAUUGUACAUCUUGUAACUGCAGUGGUAUCAGAUAGACUUAUUAUAAAAUUUUAUGCUUUCUUCAACAGCAAUAAGUCUGAGGUCCAUUCAAUUUAUCACUUCUGUGAUGUUGGUGGAUUUUAUGCUUUAAUGACCAAGGAAAAGGCAAAUAAAUUUGCUAGAUGGUGCCUUCACUUUGAUGCUUCCCUAUUCUCCAUUUUCCACUGGGAGAAAGAACCUAGGCAGUCAAGGUUGUUCAUUUUUGUUUAUUUCUUUGUUUGCUUUUAUUUUCGAAUCGGAGGAAGUUGGAUUUGUUAGACCAUCUGAUCGUAAAAGGAAAAGGCGAAUUGUUGAACCAUCUGAUCCUAAAAGGAACAGGCGAGGGCAAACUAAGUCUGGAAGGAAAAUUUACACUUUACCUAAAAUUAAGAAACAAAAACUCAGCACUGGUAUGCCUUACUUGGUCUACAAGUGUGCUUGGGUUGCUUUUCUUCUUUUCUAUUUGUUCAGAACUUCAUAUCUAUAUUUAUGCAAGUUGCAGACAGCAUACUCCCGGAAUAGAGAAUAGAGGAAAAACAAAGAGAAAUGGAGAUAUGAUGAAGGCUAUUACUCACUAUUAACAGAUUUGGAGCUGAAGGCUAAAAUAGAAGAGUCAGUGAUACGAAGUAAGCUUGGUUAAUGAUAAAAUACGUGAUGAUCAGGAAGCUUUGCUUUCUAGCCAAGCUUAAUUGGGCUGGAAGAAGUUGAAUUUGUGGAGCCACAUCGUAGACGCAUUGUUUUCUUAGCUUUUGAUUAGUACGUGGUAGCAACGUGUGGUGCAAAGCAAUGAAAGUGACCAACAACUUUUUAACUAUUCAAGGUGUUUUAAUCUGUUUGAAAGAUUCUCUUGGCGUUAAGACUUGAAACAACAAUUUAACAAAGGGAACGUCUUGUGAACAACCAAGAAUAUUUGUUUUGAAGGCUCAUUUUGGAGACUUAAAUUUAAAGAAACGAAGUAACCAAACAAUUUGUGUACAUGAUAUUGUGCACAAUGACUGAAUGAAUUAGGAUGUACUAACUUGGGUUUAUAUAGUUUUGCAUUUCACACAAGUAAUUACCAGGUGUAACU